This 747-nucleotide long non-coding RNA is filed under the name Helianthus annuus (common sunflower). RNAcentral's name for it is "hypothetical non coding rna". Lineage: Eukaryota; Viridiplantae; Streptophyta; Magnoliopsida; Asterales; Asteraceae. The record is from RNAcentral.
CCAGAUUUUGAAGAACGAUCGCAAGUAAAAGCCAGCAGGUAUGCGUGAUGAAAUGAGCUCAAAUUCACAAAAGAAGCAAAAAGACAGCUAAUUCUAACAUAAAUACAAGAAAAGGAAUAAAAGUAGACUGCCCGAACCCUCAACGGCAUCCUCCCAAGCAAAGAAGAGAAAACAGAAGCCUGAACACGCCCCGUGCUCAGCCAGCACGGGGCCGUGCCCAAGAAGCAGCAGAAAAGACAAACCUGUAGAAGCUUCUAUUGCCCACCACGGGGCCGUGUCCAGUGAGCACGGGGGUGUGGCGAAAGUACAACAGGCGCAUUAAUUGUAAUUGCGAAUUACAAUUAAUGAAGAGAGAGAGAGUGUCAGACGGGCACGGGGGCGUGUCCAGCGGACACGGGGCCGUGCCCAGCCUUCUGUUCAGCCUAUAAAUAGGAGUGCUUGGUUUCAUUCCAACUGAUCCCUUGGCACACCACCUCUCUCACACUUCAUCCACCACCCCCCACCACCAUAACACCAUCAUCCACCACCAUCAUCCAUUGUCCAUCGUAGAGUGUGUGAGUCGUCUCGGGAUCAAAGAUUGAUAGUAAGAGUUCUUGACAAUCAAGGCCGUGUUUGCCUAAGUCUCUUACAUCACUUGGUGAAGACAAGUGUUUAGUAUAAUACUUUUUAUUUUUAAUCUUUUCCACUUUUUAUUUGGUUUUGUAUUAAUGACUUUAAUAAUUAGUUCCUUAUGUUGAAGGUGAUCUU